RNAcentral lists this ribosomal RNA (505 nucleotides) under uncultured bacterium. Its description in RNAcentral is "partial 16S ribosomal RNA". It matches the Rfam family "Bacterial small subunit ribosomal RNA", at positions 28 to 507 of the family's 1533-position model. The record is from RNAcentral.
GACGAACGCUGGCGGCGUGCCUAAUACAUGCAAGUAGAACGCACAGUUUAUACCGUAGCUUGCUACACCAUAGACUGUGAGUUGCGAACGGGUGAGUAACGCGUAGGUAACCUGUCUGGUAGCGGGGGAUAACUAUUGGAAACGAUAGCUAAUACCGCAUAAUAUUAAUUAUUGCAUGAUAAUUAAUUGAAAGGUGCAAUUGCACCACUACCAGAUGGACCUGCGUUGUAUUAGCUAGUAGGUGAGGUAACGGCUCACCUAGGCGACGAUACAUAGCCGACCUGAGAGGGUGAUCGGCCACACUGGGACUGAGACACGGCCCAGACUCCUACGGGAGGCAGCAGUAGGGAAUCUUCGGCAAUGGACGAAAGUCUGACCGAGCAACGCCGCGUGAGUGAAGAAGGGUUUCGGAUCGUAAAGCUCUGUUGUAAGAGAAGAACGGGUGUGAGAGUGGAAAGUUCACACUGUGACGGUAUCUUACCAGAAAGGGACGGCUAACUACGUG